Molecule: ribosomal RNA, 405 nt
Filed under: uncultured prokaryote
Description: bacterial SSU rRNA
Rfam family: Bacterial small subunit ribosomal RNA
Source: RNAcentral
UGAGGAAUAUUGCGCAAUGGCCGAAAGGCUGACGCAGCGACGCCGCGUGGGGGAUGACGGCCUUCGGGUUGUAAACCCUUGUCAGUGGGGAAGAAAAAAAUGACUGUACCCACAGAGGAAGCCCCGGCUAACUACGUGCCAGCAGCCGCGGUAAGACGUAGGGGGCGAGCGUUGUUCGGAAUUACUGGGCGUAAAGAGCUCGUAGGCUGGAAAGUAAGUCUUUGAAUAAAUCUCCCGGCUUAACCGGGAACAAUUUAGAGAUACUGAUUUUCUUGAGAACAGGAGAGGGGAAUGGAAUUCCUAGUGUAGCGGUGAAAUGCGUAGAUAUUAGGAGGAACACCAGUGGCGAAGGCGGUUCUCUGGCCUGUUUCUGACGCUGAGGAGCGAAAGCUGGGGGAGCGAACG